GUCUGAUGUGAAAGCCUUCGGCUCACCGAAGAAGUGCAUCGGAAACUGGGAAACUUGAGUGCAGAAGAGGACAGUGGAACUCCAUGUGUAGCGGUGAAAUGCGUAGAUAUAUGGAAGAACACCAGUGGCGAAGGCGGCUGUCUGGUCUGUAACUGACGCUGAGGCUCGAAAGUAUGGGUAGCAAACAGGAUUAGAUACCCUGGUAGUCCAUACCGUAAACGAUGAAUGCUAAGUGUUGGAGGGUUUCCGCCCUUCAGUGCUGCAGCUAACGCAUUAAGCAUUCCGCCUGGGGAGUACGGCCGCAAGGCUGAAACUCAAAGGAAUUGACGGGGGCCCGCACAAGCGGUGGAGCAUGUGGUUUAAUUCGAAGCUACGCGAAGAACCUUACCAGGUCUUGACAUACUAUGCAAAUCUAAGAGAUUAGACGUUCCCUUCGGGGACAUGGAUACAGGUGGUGCAUGGUUGUCGUCAGCUCGUGUCGUGAGAUGUUGGGUUAAGUCCCGCAACGAGCGCAACCCUUAUUAUCAGUUGCCAGCAUUAAGUUGGGCACUCUGGUGAGACUGCCGGUGACAAACCGGAGGAAGGUGGGGAUGACGUCAAAUCAUCAUGCCCCUUAUGACCUGGGCUAA
RNAcentral lists this ribosomal RNA (629 nucleotides) under Lactobacillus sp. QOX-01BC. RNAcentral's name for it is "bacterial SSU rRNA". It matches the Rfam family "Bacterial small subunit ribosomal RNA", at positions 587 to 1217 of the family's 1533-position model. Lineage: Bacteria; Bacillati; Bacillota; Bacilli; Lactobacillales; Lactobacillaceae. The record is from RNAcentral.